RNAcentral lists this ribosomal RNA (722 nucleotides) under Acinetobacter baumannii. RNAcentral describes it as "partial 23S ribosomal RNA". It matches the Rfam family "Bacterial large subunit ribosomal RNA", at positions 543 to 1265 of the family's 2925-position model. Lineage: Bacteria; Pseudomonadati; Pseudomonadota; Gammaproteobacteria; Moraxellales; Moraxellaceae. The record is from RNAcentral.
AUAGAACCUGAAACCGUAUGCCUACAAGAAGUCAGAGCCCGUUAAGGGGUGAUGGCGUGCCUUUUGUAGAAUGAACCGGCGAGUUACGAUUACGUGCGAGGUUAAGUUGAGAAGACGGAGCCGCAGCGAAAGCGAGUCUGAAUAGGGCGAAUUAGUACGUGGUCGUAGACCCGAAACCAGGUGAUCUACCCAUGUCCAGGAUGAAGGUGAGGUAACACUUACUGGAGGUCCGAACCCACGCACGUUGAAAAGUGCGGGGAUGAGGUGUGGGUAGCGGAGAAAUUCCAAUCGAACUUGGAGAUAGCUGGUUCUCUCCGAAAUAGCUUUAGGGCUAGCCUCGUGAUUGAGAAUACUGGAGGUAGAGCACUGUUUGGACUAGGGGGGCAUCUCGCUUUACCGAAUUCAGACAAACUCCGAAUGCCAGAUAUUUAUACACGGGAGUCAGACUGCGAGUGAUAAGAUCCGUAGUCAAAAGGGAAACAGCCCAGACCACCAGCUAAGGUCCCAAAGUAAUCGUUAAGUGGAAAAGGAUGUGGCGUUGCUUAGACAACCAGGAUGUUGGCUUAGAAGCAGCCAUCAUUUAAAGAGUGCGUAAUAGCUCACUGGUCGAGUGACGCUGCGCCGAAAAUGUAUCGGGGCUAAACGAUUCACCGAAGCUGUGGAUGCAUACCUAGGGUAUGCGUGGUAGGAGAGCGUUCUAAUUGCGUUGAAGUCAGAUCGUA